Molecule: long non-coding RNA, 1295 nt
Organism: Saccoglossus kowalevskii
Lineage: Eukaryota; Metazoa; Hemichordata; Enteropneusta; Harrimaniidae
Source: RefSeq, a predicted model, not a curated record
AUGAACCUUGAUUGUAACUUCGUAUUUUCAUUUUUCUCUGCACCCCACAGUAUUGCGUUAAAUGUGAACAGUGUCCAUGUGAGAGCAGCUCAUCGAAGCCCGCGUGUCACAUGUUAUUGCAAGUUUUGCUACCUUUGCUCAGCAGUGUGUGAAACGGUGUGUAAACCAGGGGGAACACUGGAUAUGGUAUCAUCAGCUAUAUACAAUGCCUUACCCACCUUUGACAUGGAUAGUGUCACUGAAGACAUCAGUUCUAUUAAGGAAUAUCUGUAAAAGUGACAUCAUUGUUUUUAUGACGAAGAUGAAUUGCAGGCACCCUCAUUCAGUAUAUGGGCACACACUCGUCUUAACGUAAAUCUACUUUCAAAUGGAAUUUUUUCUUUCAUGUACAUUUCAUCAUGGCUUCAUACAUUUCACAAUGUGUGGAGUUCAGGUUCUUUAAAUGUGAACAUACUAUUAAUGUCGCAUCAGAUUUUUACAUGAAUCAAACAAACACCCAGAUUGGUGGUAUAGACGCGUGAUUCCAUGUGUCAUCUCGAGAAAUAAACACAUAGCAGUAAUAUGAAUAUGAGGUUAUUACGAGGAUACGGCAUGCAAGUAUGCACGAGGACAGUAAACCGCUUAUGCGUACUGUCUGAGUGCAUACUUUACACAAUCCUCGUAAUAACCUUAUUAUUAUACAUCUUUUCCUCCCAGGAAUACAUGAUGUAAAUGCCGAAAUCCAAAACGUUUAGAACAGAUUUAGUGAACUUCUUUGUAUGGGAACGGGGGCAGUCACGUUUGUUUUUUAUCAUUUAUUAGAGGACGCUUACGCGUGUAAUCGUUAUUGACGUACUAAAUAUGAAUCUAAUAUAUAAUGGAGAUGUACACCCGGACAUGACACAUUCGGUUGCGGUAUCACGCAUUCCGUUUGCCGAAUCUGUUUUUAAUUCAGUAAUAAUGUUCAAUUGUCUCACACAAUUGUUUGUUACUUAAAUGGUCCAUGUAUGCAGAAUGGCUGGAUUAACUAUAUUGUUAUUGUACAUAUCCCGUAACCGCAAAGUUAACGUCCUAAUUUGGGUAUGUUCUAUUCAACAAUACUGAAUGUUCGAUUUGUCAUUUUUAAAACUUUUCCUGUCAAACCAGACAACUAAUCCAAAAUAAGUAAAACUAUACUCAGAAAUUGGAAUAGGAAAAUCAAGAAACAGAAUUUGAGAGAAAAUAUCUUGGACUGUUAUAUUAUUUUGUUUAUACUGUACAUGUGUGUAUCUUAAUACUUAUUAUGCCACAUUCUGUAAAUAAUAAAUAUGUGUUUA